UACGGAGGGUGCUAGCGUUGUUCGGAAUUACUGGGCGUAAAGCGCACGUAGGCGGCUUUUUAAGUUAGCGGUGAAAGCCUGGAGCUCAACUCCAGAAAUGCCUUUAAGACUGCAUCGCUUGAAUCCAGGAGAGGUGGGUGGAAUUCCGAGUGUAGAGGUGAAAUUCGUAGAUAUUCGGAAGAACACCAGUGGCGAAGGCGGCUCACUGGACUGGUAUUGACGCUGAGGUGCGAAAGCGUGGGGAGCAAACAGG
Molecule: ribosomal RNA, 253 nt
Filed under: uncultured bacterium
Lineage: Bacteria
Description: partial 16S ribosomal RNA
Rfam family: Bacterial small subunit ribosomal RNA
Source: RNAcentral